Molecule: non-coding RNA, 27 nt
Filed under: Homo sapiens (human)
Lineage: Eukaryota; Metazoa; Chordata; Mammalia; Primates; Hominidae
Source: RNAcentral
UGAGGGCCGUGCAUCUGGAGACCUGGU